This 627-nucleotide ribosomal RNA is filed under the name Hymenoplia rugulosa. Its description in RNAcentral is "partial 16S ribosomal RNA". It matches the Rfam family "Bacterial large subunit ribosomal RNA", at positions 1819 to 2732 of the family's 2925-position model. The record is from RNAcentral. Lineage: Eukaryota; Metazoa; Arthropoda; Insecta; Coleoptera; Scarabaeidae.
GUCUUUUUGAUAAUAAUAUAAAGUCUGACCUGCCCAAUGAGGAUUUAAAUGGCCGCGGUAUUUUGACCGUGCAAAGGUAGCAUAAUAAUUAGUUUUUUAAUUGAAAGCUGGAAUGAAUGGUUGGACGAGAAAAUAGCUGUCUCAGAUUAAUUUAAUUAGAAUUUUAUUUUUAAGUAAAAAAGCUUAAAUUUUUUUAAAAGACGAGAAGACCCUAUAGAGUUUUAUAUAUUUAUAAUUAAAUAUAAUUUAGUAUAGUUGAGUUUUUAUUUUUAAAUGUAUUUUAUUGGGGUGAUAAAAAAAUUAAUAAAACUUUUUUUUUAUAUUAACAUUAAUUUAUGAAUUAUUGAUCCAUUUUUUAUGAUUAAAAGAUUAAGUUACCUUAGGGAUAACAGCGUAAUUUUUUUUUAGAGUUCUUAUCGAAAAAAGAGAUUGCGACCUCGAUGUUGGAUUAAAAUUAAUAUUUGGUGUAGAAGCUAAAUAAUUAGGUCUGUUCGACCUUUGAAAUUUUACAUGAUCUGAGUUUAAACCGGUGUAAGCCAGGUUGGUUUCUAUCUUUAAAUAAUUAAAAUAUUUUAGUACGAAAGGACCAAAUAUUUAUAAAAUUUAUUGAAUUUUGAAUAAUAUUAA